Molecule: long non-coding RNA, 2577 nt
Organism: Gasterosteus aculeatus aculeatus (three-spined stickleback)
Lineage: Eukaryota; Metazoa; Chordata; Actinopteri; Perciformes; Gasterosteidae
Source: Ensembl
AUUUCCCCAAAAGAAUGUUCAACAAAUUAAAAUAGGUUCCAUAUUUCCCCUCUUGGCAAAGAAAAAGUAAUAGCAUUGCCUCAUGUUCCUUCACUGAGGAAAUGUAAAAAACGCGUUUGGACCUGCAGUUAUUGUCAAACAGUAAUCCCCGAGUUUGCCUCUACAGUCAUUCCGUCGGCCCCUGAAGAGGUUACCAUGGAGACAGUGGAGGGGAGGAAAAAGGGGUCCUCCUGACACGGAGCAGAACUUGGUAAUUGGCAGAUUAUCAGAAGACCGAGGUUAUUCCUCCAGAAGACUCUCAGCACACACUCGUUAUUUCCACCACACACUCCCUCCAGCCGGAAGGCCAAAACAACAACAACAACAACACCAACAAAGGCCGGAACGACAACAAUAAAUACCGUUAAAUACAGCGAGGAGAAAAUAGUGGGUCAUCAACCUCUUUCCCGUUCUCCCGUAAUCGCUUUACUGGACGGUGGGGGGGGGGGGUGUUGUGUUUUGCUCGGGGGACAGAUCCCUGCAGGCGGCGGGAACCGACACGAUGGAGAAGACGCAGCUCUGGCAGGCGGGAUUCUUCUACCAAGCUACAGGGAGGAGAAUGAUGCACGUGAAGGGCCACACCUGAAGAACCUCGGGGACAGAGGCAGGUGAUCCUCAGUGCAAACUGAAACGACAAGGCGUGCACUCAUGUCAACGAGCCGGUCAAAUUUCAUGUGGACACCAAACGCACGGCCAUGCUUCAGCAACGGCGUGAAGUCCAUGACCUCAUCAAAGUGAUGCAGAGUACCGCAGUUCAUCUUCGUCGUCAGAGACGACGAUUCAGUUUGCUGCUUUUAGUGUUUCCUAAUUUUCUUUCUGCUUCUUAACCAGCUUAACCCCAUUAAAUAGCUAUUUAAAGUAAAUGUUUGUGAUGGCAAGUUUAGAUUUCCACCCUAAUUCCAUACCAUAUAACUGACGUAAUGACCAUUAUAUUUUGUCUACACUUCGUAUGUCUCUUCAAGAUGCACAACCUGAUGGCAACGAUGCAGAACUGGAGCCUCAAUAAUCCAGUAGAUCACCGGCUCACAGACAUCCGACAGCUGGAAGAUCGGCAAGCAUUCAGACAUCCCGUGAAAUUGAAUCAUUGUUGUGCCACAGGGCACGUUACCCAAGUGUGAACUUUGGUUUUGGAGAUCAACGGUUUCGAUCUUCUAAUAGAGAAUGCAACUGCCCCAACGCAUACAUGCUUGCAGCCAUUGCAAUUUUGCUGCUGUUUCAUUUUAUGCUAUGGUUUUAAUGAAUGUUUUGCAUGUGAAUCUUUAGCAUUAUACUUUGAGAGAUGAGUGGAACAACCAAGUCCUGUGGAAAUAACUUACUUACUUAGUUGAGUCUGUUGAACAUGUGGCUUUCGAUGAACAAACCUUUGAGUGAGUUAAAGAGCUCGCCGCUUAAACCCGAGAAGAGAUUCUUCGCUGCUUGCCACGUUAAGCAAACAAUGGAGUUGCUGGCAGGCAUGAAGACUUCAGGAGAAAAGUCAUUUAAAAAGGUGUUUUAGAGUGUCUGCCAUCCAGGCUGUUUAGAGGAGCAGGGAGGGAAAAUGGACAUCAGCUUGUGAUUCAGCAGCAGCCAAACCUCACCAAACACGGCGGAGAGGGACGUAAUCCAGAUGCUAUUACUGCUGAACUGGCACUUUUUUGCCAGGACGCAGGGGUUUCCCAAACCUUUCCUGGGGGAGGGGGGGACCAAAUCAACAGGUGUUCCCACCAGUGAGGCAGCAGCGCAUGUCAGGCAAUGCAAAAGGAUUGAAAGACGUUAUAGGUGUGCACGUUUCUUUACCAAUACAAGCUGAAUGGGGGUCAACGACACGGCUGCAAAAGGGUUGCAAAAGGACAGUAACGUGCAAGAAAUACUAAUUAAGAAAAUUCAGCGUUUCAAAUUUGUGCAAUAUAAUACAUUUUGUCCCUGAUUUAUCCCGUGGGAUAACAGCCGUAUCACUUUAGCAAAAUAAAUAAACACCACAAUUAAAAAAACGCCUCUGUGCUCCGACUCCGUUCUCAAGGGAACGUUCCUCAUAUUUUUAAAUAUUUGAAAAAUCAUGUCUGUUUUGAUUCUGAAUUGAUGUUGUAUAGCAGAGCUUUAUUUAUUUGAGGUAUUUCACUACUUUUAUUCAUGCCUAUUCUAUUUAAAGACCCAGAGUCUGAACUUCCUAAAUCCCUGGACAUUAUGCAUUACAUUACAUUACAGGUCAUUUAUGCACACUGCUAUUGUAGGGUCCUGUGUUAAUACACCAAAAGCCUGUAAAUAAAGACAGUGAAAACAAGCCGUGUGUCGUUUGUGGUUAGGACAAAUAUCCUGUGGUCAUCUGACGAUACGUUUUUCUGUGGGUGUCGAAGCCACACAGCUGUUAACAGGUGCUCACUGCAGCCACAUCCGCUAACAACUUAACAAUAAGUACUGUGCGUGUAAUGGCCGGCCUCUCCACCGCGUGAUUCUGUUAAAUGGACUAUGAUGCAUUUCUCCAAAUGGGGUUUCAUCCACGUGCACUCACUCACCUUCUGCAAACUAUUAAGGACGAGCAGACACACACACACACACACA